This 429-nucleotide ribosomal RNA is filed under the name Gemmatimonadota bacterium. RNAcentral's name for it is "Gemmatimonadetes bacterium partial 16S ribosomal RNA". It matches the Rfam family "Bacterial small subunit ribosomal RNA", at positions 355 to 776 of the family's 1533-position model. Lineage: Bacteria; Pseudomonadati; Gemmatimonadota. The record is from RNAcentral.
UAGGGAAUCUUCGGCAAUGGACGAAAGUCUGACCGAGCAACGCCGCGGGAGUGAAGAAGGUUUUCGGAUCGUAAAACUCUGUUGUUAGAGAAGAACAAGGACGUUAGUAACUGAACGUCCCCUGACGGUAUCUAACCAGAAAGCCACGGCUAACUACGUGCCAGCAGCCGCGGUAAUACGUAGGUGGCAAGCGUUGUCCGGAUUUAUUGGGCGUAAGGCGAGCGCAGGCGGUUUCUUAAGUCUGAUGUGAAAGCCCCCGGCUCAACCGGGGAGGGUCAUUGGAAACUGGGAGACCUGAGUGCAGAAGAGGAGAGUGGAAUUCCAUGUGUAGCGGUGAAAUGCGUGGAUAUAUGGAGGAACACCAGUGGCGAAGGCGGCUCUCUGGUCUGUAACUGACGCUGAGGCUCGAAAGCGUGGGGAGCAAACAGG